Cornus florida is the source of this 730-nucleotide long non-coding RNA. RefSeq lists it as uncharacterized. The transcript is spliced from 2 exons. The record is from RefSeq and is a predicted model, not a curated record. Lineage: Eukaryota; Viridiplantae; Streptophyta; Magnoliopsida; Cornales; Cornaceae.
GAGUGAAAAAGAGGACACUAAGCCAAUAAAUCUUUGGUUCAAAACAAGACACUAAGCCAAUGGCUAUGAUGCUUGAACCAUGAAGGAACAGUUUAGAUUUCCAUCAAGGCUUUGUAUCAUCACUGGGCCGGCCUGGCCCAAGGCGACCAAGGCGAUCGCCUUGGGCCCCAGCUUUUAGAGGGCGUCAAAUUUUGAGGCCCAUAGGGGAUGAUAAAAAAAAUAAAUAAAUAAAAUAAAGAAAUAAAGUUAGGGCAAGUCUUGGUCGGCUUGGGCCUCAAAUUUUAGAGGACCACAAAAUAUAAGUUAGGGCAAAUUUUUCAGACGAUACAAUCUGCUUCGACACUCCACCUCCGCUAUCGCCUCACGCUCAGGUGACACCGUGACAAGAAACUGGACUUCCUUUGAAUAUCCCAUACACUGGAAAAUGGAGAAUCUGUAUUGAAUUCCAGCAAAUGAAACUGAAAACUGUACUGCUUCAGUUUGGAUUAACACCUACUUCAAAAUGAAUUCUAAUGCCUUGAACCUGAGGUACAACUAUACAGCCUGUCAAAUGACUGCCUCGUGCUUCCUAGUUAUUCGUGUUGUGUCAAUUUACUCUUAAAUCAUAUCAUGUAUAUCGAAAAUUUUAGUGUAGAUACGGGGCUUACAAUGAAGUGCUUUUUUAAUUUUUGAGUAAUUAAUCAGUAUUUGGAAUCCCAACAAAUCUAGAAAAAGAAAAAGAAAAAGAAAA